RNAcentral lists this ribosomal RNA (482 nucleotides) under uncultured bacterium. RNAcentral's name for it is "partial 16S ribosomal RNA". It matches the Rfam family "Bacterial small subunit ribosomal RNA", at positions 30 to 507 of the family's 1533-position model. The record is from RNAcentral.
AUUGAACGCUGGCGGCAUGCUUUACACAUGCAAGUCGAACGGUAACAGGCCGCAAGGUGCUGACGAGUGGCGAACGGGUGAGUAAUGCAUCGGAACGUGCCCAGUCGUGGGGGAUAACUACUCGAGAGAGUAGCUAAUACCGCAUACGAUCUAUGGAUGAAAGCGGGGGACCGUAAGGCCUCGCGCGAUUGGAGCGGCCGAUGUCAGAUUAGGUAGUUGGUGGGGUAAAGGCUCACCAAGCCAACGAUCUGUAGCUGGUCUGAGAGGACAACCAGCCACACUGGGACUGAGACACGGCCCAGACUCCUACGGGAGGCAGCAGUGGGGAAUUUUGGACAAUGGGCGCAAGCCUGAUCCAGCAAUGCCGCGUGCAGGAAGAAGGCCUUCGGGUUGUAAACUGCUUUUGUACGGAACGAAACGGCUCUGGUUAAUACCCGGGGCUAAUGACGGUACCGUAAGAAUAAGCACCGGCUAACUACGUG